Molecule: ribosomal RNA, 283 nt
Filed under: Desmodesmus sp. M-020
Lineage: Eukaryota; Viridiplantae; Chlorophyta; Chlorophyceae; Sphaeropleales; Scenedesmaceae
Description: partial small subunit ribosomal RNA
Rfam family: Eukaryotic small subunit ribosomal RNA
Source: RNAcentral
CGUAUAUUUAAGUUGUUGCAGUUAAAAAGCUCGUAGUUGGAUUUCGGGUGGGUUUCAGCGGUCCGCCUAUGGUGAGUACUGCUGGAGCCUUCCUUACUGUCGGGGACCUGCUUCUGGGCUUCAUUGUCCGGGACAGGGAUUCGGCAUGGUUACUUUGAGUAAAUUAGAGUGUUCAAAGCAGGCUUACGCCGUGAAUACUUUAGCAUGGAAUAACAUGAUAGGACUCUGCCCUAUUCUGUUGGCCUGUAGGAGUGGAGUAAUGAUUAAGAGGAACAGUCGGGGG